AGUUUGAAGCAUAUCAGGGCCUAGAAUUGGGCAGUUCAACCAUUUAACACAUUAAGGCCAAGUGAAAACUGCUCAGAAAAAUCCAAAUCUUUCACCUAUAGCAACUUUUUUCUUUUUUUAAAGUAACGCAAAUAGUUACUUUGCCUGGUAACUAGUUACUUUUAUUAUAGAGUAAUUCAGUUACUAACUCAGUUACUUUUUGGAACAAGUAUUGAGUAACUAUAACUAAUUACUUUUUUAAAGUAACGUUCCCAACACUGUUCAUAUGUAAGCCUGUGGUUCUUUCUACAACCCAACAAAUAGAAAGCAUUUGACUGAUAGUCAGGAAUAGCGGUUCUGUUGAUUACACACAUCAAUCUUAUUUUUUGUCAAUAAUAAUCCAUGCUUUUUACCCAAGCGUGGACUUGUGGCCAUUCCAGGAUCCAACCUGGGCCUGCGAAAUAUGCAUGUGAGCUGAAGAUGGACGUGAAUACAGCCGAAAGAAGAAUCCUCCUGUCGGAGUGUAACCGCAAAGCAACCCUGGUGCCGGCUGAACAGCCGUAGGCUACCGACCUUACCCCGAGAGAUUUGAGAAGUGGCGACAGGUGUUGGGCACCGAGGGUUUGACUGGUCGUUGCUACUGGGAGGUCCAAUGGAGCGGAGUGGUUCAUGUUGGUGUGACACACAAAGAGAUAAGGAGGGAAGGGCAGAACGAUUACUCACGCCUUGGGUGGAACAACAAGUCCUCGAGCCUGAAUUGCAGCAAAACGACGGCCUGGCACAAUGGCAAGGGCUUUGCGUUACUGGCUGUCCCCAACUGUAAGGAGAGAUUGGGGGUGCACCUGGACUGGCCGGCUGGAAUUCUAUCCUUCUACAACAUCCACCCCGGCAGGCUCAAAAUGGGUCACAUUUUCACGUUCCACGUCACAUUUACAGAGCCCCUCUACCCAGCGUUUUGGUUGGGGGGGCCAUAAUUCCUCUGCAUUGUUCUGCAAGGUUUCACCUGUAUAUCAAGUUCACUAUCGGAGGAAAUCAAACAUCAAGGCAUAAAACAUCAUUUGGACUAUUUUGAGAUAAGGACUGUUGAAAUGUCUAUUUAUUUUUUACAUCCAAAGCUUGAUCUUAUCAUGCCAGUGUGAAGAUUAGCACAAUGCUUGUGAUAUCAUAGUCCUGACUGUUAUGCAUGUGUUUGGUUAGCUUGAUUGUUUGAUGCAUGAAGCUCUCCAUCAAAUAACCCUUUGUUCAUGCUUCUCGUUCACCUUUGCUUUUUGGGAGAAAGCCUGGUGGUUCGGUUGCAUUGGAUGCAUUUGAAAUUCCUGAGGUUCCCUUUUUUUUUUAGAAAGAGGGUGACCCACCAUCACCCCCUACAGGUUCGGGGGAGAUUGAUGAGCCAAGAUGCCUUGCCCUUAGCACCUUCUGUUUUUCUAAAUGUUCUCAAUUAUAUACGUUGCUUUCAAUCCUAGGCUUAACAUGUUGCAAGAAGCAAGGAAUAAUACCGUGAAACCUGGAAUAGUUGAAUGAGACAUCUCAGUGAAGCCAAUGCAACGACAAUGAGCUAAUGACCUGCUUACGACAUUACAAAAAAGAACAGUACAGUGCUGCCAUCUUGUGGUAGAAAAUAAUAGGUGCAGUUAGUUUAAUGGAGUGGUUCGAGACAAUUCAAAUGAAAAGCAUUGGAAUAAGUCCAAAUCUGUAGUUCUAUAAGUAGCUUAUACAACAGCUCUAUUACAUAGAGUAGUCAAAGGCAUCGAAGGUAUCAGUGGCAUAAAAAACAAACAACAAACAACGUGCAAUAGACUAUUCUAAAUAUUAAAGGAUAAUUAAUUCACAGAGACAGAAAGAGACAGUAUCAUAACCAAUUAGGGAGUUAGAAAUUUAGUUUGAAAAACGAAGUGGAUAUUUGUGGAGUUUUAGGUGCGCAGUGAUUCAGUUGGCGGCAGUACCGCUACCAACCAAGAGGCUGUGCCAGGGUGUCGAUAUUCGAUGUGGAGCCAGCCUAUGAUGUAAUUUGGCAUUUCUUAACUUCAGAAAGAGUUUCUAAGCAACACUUUAUCGGAUGUAAUACAUUGUAUAUCGUUUUGGGGACAUGGCUUGAAGCAAUAAUUCUGGAAUUGGAAGAUUCAAGAUUUCCAUCCCUUUGUUAGAUGUUUUGGUUGGUGAAAUUACCGAUUCUGACAACAGAGGGGGCAGUGGAGCACAUAAUCAAUAAACGGCUUUAAUGAACAAAAAUACAUUUCAAUUGAAAACACGGUAAAUAUCUUCUAUUUAACAUUAUACGGGGGGUAACCUCAUUUAAAUGAUCGAAGAUAAAGAGGUACAGAGAUAGAGGACAAUUUAUUAUUUAAAGGAGAUCACAUGCGUGGGCUCGCACCACUGCUUAUCACUACAUUUAAUUAAACCGACAUCCCACAUUGUGAUCAAUAUGAUGGCUCUGCCAUCAAAACCAUCAUCAUGACCACGUCACAACAGAGACCAAUUGCUAAUUUUAGGUUGAGAGAGAGAGAGAGAGAGAGAGAGAGAGAGAGAGAGAGAGAGAGAGAGAGAGAGAGAGAGAGAGAGAGAGAGAGAGAGAGAGAGAGAAAGAGAAAAGAUUCUACACUAAAUUAAAGAAUUAAUUUUGCUUCCUCAAUACCAUCACUUUGUGGAGGAGAGCAAAUGAGAUGAUGAAAUUAAAGAAUAAAUAUUAUUUUGGCCGUUUCCCAUGUAACACACACACACACACACACACACACACACACACACACACACACACACACACACAAACACACAAACACACACACACACACACACACACACACACACACACACACACACACACACACACACACACACACACACACUGGACUUCAUUCAGGCCAAAAGGACAGACUGUCUGUAACAACUAUGGAUAAUA
This is a long non-coding RNA of Gadus macrocephalus (Pacific cod), 2872 nucleotides long. RefSeq lists it as uncharacterized. The record is from RefSeq and is a predicted model, not a curated record. NCBI's taxonomy places the organism in Eukaryota, Metazoa, Chordata, Actinopteri, Gadiformes, Gadidae. The transcript is spliced from 2 exons.